GUGGUACCCUGGUGUGCUGGAAGCCAGUCUCCUUCAAGGAGAGGUCUUCUGUAUCCUCUGUUCCUUAGUAAAACCAGGCUGGAAUGGAAUCAAGAUAACAUAUCAAAAGCCAACUACAGACCAUCAUUCUACAGUUUUCAUAACAAGUGCUGACAAGAUAAUGAAGACUACCUCUCUGUGUUGGACCCUAGCAUUUAACUGCAUCGACCAACAGUGGAUACAUUUUAGUUGGGUGUGGCUGAAGGUCAGCAGCAUGAUUGCAGACAUCCUCAGCAAUAAGCAGAAGGUUGUAGCCAACCCUCAGAAACUUGAACUUACACAGACAUGCUUUAUGGUUGUUUGUUGAAUAAGAGUGCAAAUAUAAACUCCACCAAACUUCCAGCACCUAACUUCACCCCGACUCAGUGUCUGUGCUCUGUCAUGUGGCAUGCAAGAAGCUCGAGUGCCCUGGAAGAAGAGGCCUUGGGCUGAAAGCUUGCCUCUGCCAUUGGCCAUGGGUGAAGGAAGAGAGGCAGUUUAUUGAGUCUCAGUUUCAUUGACUUAAAGAUCUUUUUGUUUGUAACAGAACUACAGUUCAUAAAGGCUCUAUAAAAUAAAACAUAUUUGCUUCAGUCUGCCUAGUUCUAGAGAUGGAAACAUUACUUUUAG
Molecule: long non-coding RNA, 648 nt
Filed under: Mustela putorius furo (domestic ferret)
Lineage: Eukaryota; Metazoa; Chordata; Mammalia; Carnivora; Mustelidae
Description: lncRNA (ENSMPUG00000029797.1)
Source: RNAcentral